Long non-coding RNA from Hyla sarda, 779 nucleotides. RefSeq lists it as uncharacterized. The transcript has 3 exons. The record is from RefSeq and is a predicted model, not a curated record. NCBI's taxonomy places the organism in Eukaryota, Metazoa, Chordata, Amphibia, Anura, Hylidae.
UUGGUUCUUAUAGGCAACUGGUCAACGUUUUCUCUGUACAGGUUUAUGGAAUCACAGAAAUUCUGAUGUGUUCUCGAAUUGGAUGCCUUACGAAUCAACUAGUUAUCCUCUAUCCCGAGGGUGGGGGAAAUAAUAAAAAUGUUGUAUUUAUAUCAGAAUUCUGUAUUAUAUCAGUAAAACUGCUGUACAUGCUGUAGGUUCACCAAAAACUACGAGAUUGUGGACUGUGCGUCAGAUGGUGCUGUGACUUCCUGCUGUGAUAGAGGUAGAGAGAGCUGUAUCAUCCAGUAUCUAGUGAUCCAAUGAAAUCAGAAAUGUAGGUUUGUAUCUCUUUGGAGAAGCAAAGAAGAUGCUGCAGUUCCACAGGCAGGCAGAUCAUCGCACCAGAGAUCCAUCCAUAUACCCAGUGGACAUGAGGGAGAAGCCACACUAAGCAUGGACGGCCACCUCAACACAAUCACUGAGGUGGACACAGCAAAGCCAUUGAAAAGCAACAGCAGGUGGCACUAUACUAACAUUAUUCCUGGAUAGUGUUUUUAUGUAGUUCUGACUAUGGGAUGUGACACACUCAAGUAUCAGUACAAGGCAGAAAAAAAGCGUAAGAAGGUCUUUCUUCAGCAUAAGCCUGUCUUAUACCGAGACGCCUGCUCUCUGAACUAAUCUACUAUGCAUGUGAGGAGGAUGCGCCAUGUUACAUGUUCAGCCGUAUAAAUAUUCAUGUACAAUGAGUCACUGCAAUACAGAACCUUCCUGAGGAAAUCCAGCAGAAAUGUAUUAUG